AAUCCGCUACAAUAAUAUAGUCGUAUAAGUUCGGUAAUAUGGACCGUUCGUUUCUACCAGGCAACCGUAAAAUGCCAGGCUACGAGCUAUUGUAAAAUUUAAU
RNAcentral lists this non-coding RNA (103 nucleotides) under Listeria monocytogenes. RNAcentral's name for it is "Purine". It matches the Rfam family "Purine riboswitch aptamer". Rfam says of the family: Riboswitches are metabolite binding domains within certain messenger RNAs that serve as precision sensors for their corresponding targets. Allosteric rearrangement of mRNA structure is mediated by ligand binding, and this results in modulation of gene expression. The record is from RNAcentral. RNAcentral also lists the same sequence under 3 other names. Lineage: Bacteria; Bacillati; Bacillota; Bacilli; Caryophanales; Listeriaceae.